CCUACGGGUAGCAGCAGGGAGGAAUAUGGGUCAAUGGCCGAGAGGCUGAACCAGCCAAGUCGCGUGAGGGAAGACGGCCCUACGGGUUGUAAAACUCUUUUGUCGGGGAGCAAAGCGAGGCACGUGUGACUCAUUGAGAGUACCCGAAGAAAAAGCAUCGGCUAACUCCGUGCCAGCAGCCGCGGUAAUACGGAGGAUGCGAGCGUUAUCCGGAGUUAUUGGGUUUAAAGGGUGCGCAGGCGGAGGUGCAAGUCAGCGGUCAACUUGCGGGGCUCAACCCCGUACUGCCGUUGAAACUGCAUCCCUUGCGUGCGAGAAGUCGGCGGAAUGCGUGGUGUAGCGGUUAAAUGCAUAGAUAUCACGCAGAACUCCGAUUGCGAAGGCAGCAUACCGGCGCGCAACUGACGCUCAUGCACGAAAGCGUGGGUAUCGAACAGGAUUAGAUACCCGAGUAGUC
This 457-nucleotide ribosomal RNA is filed under the name uncultured bacterium. RNAcentral's name for it is "partial 16S ribosomal RNA". It matches the Rfam family "Bacterial small subunit ribosomal RNA", at positions 338 to 795 of the family's 1533-position model. The record is from RNAcentral.